Molecule: long non-coding RNA, 8997 nt
Organism: Calypte anna (Anna's hummingbird)
Lineage: Eukaryota; Metazoa; Chordata; Aves; Apodiformes; Trochilidae
Exons: 2
Source: RefSeq, a predicted model, not a curated record
CUUAUUUUAAAUGCCCUUUUUAAUCAGGCUGCAGAAAACUAACUAAUGGCUUGAACUGCUGCAGUGUUGUGCUCUUCCCCAUUCUUUCCAGCAAGCUUUGGAAUGCUCUGGCCAACAGCUCAAGCAGGAGUGAACUGAAAAACCAUUGAAACCAUUGAACUGGAGUGAACUGUGUAAUGGGGCUUUGAUGUUUCUGUAUGUACAGUGCAUCUCUUGCUCAGCUGGCUUGGCAGGAGGCUCUCUCUGCCAUUUAUUCCCUCUCUUCCCCACUCUCUUAAAUGGAAAUGGGUGUCUUCUGCUGAUCAAAACAGCCAGCACACUUCUGCUAAAUCCUUUCAAACUGCAGCCAGGGUAAUUGGGAUGGGUAGGAUAAAUGCAGGAGAGUGUGGCAGUAAAAGUGAUGGCAGUUCUUUUGAACGACUGGGUGUCCUCCUGACAUGUAAUUAGCUGCUUUAGAAAGAUGGGGAUUGGCAUGGUCAUAAUUAAGAGGAUUUCUGUCUUUUCUGUGAUUGAAAACAGGAGAUCUUUCCACCCCCUAAUUCUCUUUAAUACCAGUGUUAUUAGUGACACUUGGAACACAGCUACUCCCUAAACUUAAAUAAUGACCUGUUCCUAAUGGUAACUUACAACAGCAGGGACUGAAACUGAGUUUGGGUUUCUAUGCAAAGCUGCUUCUCCUCCUUUUAUGGUUUUUCUCUCUCCCUUGCUCAUCUAUAAAUUGCUUCUCAGUCUGCUUUAGAAACAAACCAGACAUUUGGUUGUGUGUGACAGCCUGAUUGCAGAUUGCCCAGGGUUCUGGUUUAGCUCUUCUCUGUUCGUUUUCAAGUUGUAGCACUGAGGAAGAUGAGGAGCCAAGCUCCAGGACUCCACUGAAUCCUCAUCCCAGAUUUUCACCCUACCCACAGAUUUAAGGGACCAAUUGCACUGGUGUCCUCUGGUUCCUGAGGCAGGGGAUGGAUCUGCUCUUCUCUGCUGCUCCCAGUUCUUCAGUGUCUUGGUUUGGAAGCCUUAUCAGCAGUUGUUACCAGGGAAAUCACCAUCUUGUCCUCAGGCUGUCUGCUGUCUCCUGGUGCUUUAGCAGAGUUUAGUGAUAGGACCUCACUCACCUUUUUCUGAAGGAAUCUCAGAAUAGUCUGAAUGGCAUCCCAGCCAUUCACAACAGGAGAGGAUAUAUGGUGGUGACCUUAAAAUGACAUUGUAAUCUGUCUCUUAUCUUGCUGGAGUCUCAAAAAGCAUCAGUCAUAGGGGGUUAUGUGCCUUUUUAUUCUGUGUUUGCAUGAGAAACCUGAUCUGUUGGCCAGUCUUGAGCACUGCAGAGCCUGUGCUUCAUUUUUACCCUGAAAUUUCUUGACAAUAUUUUUCCCUAGGGCUUUUCUCCUGCUGUGCUUAUUUAUCAGAGAGGUUUCUGGAGUUUUUUGGUACUUAGAUACACCCAUAGAGACUCAGUCACAUUAGGAAAAACCAGCAGAUUCCUGACUCCAACAGAUGGGCAAAGCAAGUUAAGAACUUCACUACUCCAGGCUCUUCUUUAAAUCCAUCAGUGACUUUUCAGCUCCUUUGUACUGAAAUACUUGUGUAAAUCUCAUCCCAUGUUGCUGUGGGUAAUGAGUACUUCAGUUCUUCCAGCACAGUCACCACUGGUGGUGCUGGCAAUUGUAGCAACUUCUUUUUUAGGACAUAAAGUUUUAGACAUUAACUUGCUGCUGUCUCUGGCCUCAAUUCACCUUCCUCUCCUCCUCUCCUCACCCCUUCUCCUUAACUAAUUAAAGUCUUCCAUGUCAUGGCAAGAAGGCAUAUGUAGCUUAAAUAACCCACCUCUGUAAUUAAGAGGUUGACUUUAGCCUUCUGAGAUCUAUUUUACAUCAUUUGAGAUUUAAAAAUACAUUUUACUUACAAAGUUUAUCUGGAGGAGGGCAAAGAGAUAAUGAAAGUAAAUUAUUAAUUAAUAUUUCUCACCUACUAGGUUCUAUUAAGAAUGUUAAGCCUGUAUUCCAUUCCUCAAAGCACGUUUGACUUUAGAUUUUUUUAAUUAUUUUUUUUUUUAAAGUCUGCCUGCUGAUAAAGUUGCUGCUAUCUUUCUUUGACAGGACUAUAGAGACAGUACUGAAAAUACCCUUCAGGAACUAACCAGAGCCAGGAACUCAGAAUAUCAGCUCACUGACCAGUUUUCCCUAGCCCAGAGUGCCCACCAUCUCAUUUAUGCACUAUGACAAGUAAGCAGAUCUAUACAAGACCAAAGUAGAGUCUCCCUUGCUACAUUCAAACUGUUCUGUUCACAAAGUUUGAUGUAAUUUUGGAGUGGAAAAAUAGCAGGAGCAUCUCACCUUUCUGCAUCCUGGAUUGAGGGAUCUGAGUUCAGGUGGAGCUACCCUGGGGUCAAAAUGGCAAAGAAGAAAUUCAGCUUCUUGCUGGGAAAGACCAAGUGUACUGCACAAAACUGGGAACUGGUGCUUGAGGAGUGCAAACAUCUCUGGUGCUUUCUUGAUGAAGGAAUUUCUGACAAGCUCUGAAAUCUCCAAUGUACAUUGCUUUGGGCCAGUGUGUCUUCACAGCACACCCUGGAGCAUUAUCAGGUUUGGUUAGGACUUGUUGCUAGAGUUUGAGAUGUGCUUUUUGUUCUCUUUGCUGCAGAGGUUGCUUUAGAACUUGGCCCACAGCUGCUUACUGGGCAAGAACAGUUUAAAUCUGCAACUCCUCCUUCCUUCAGAGCUUCUUUAAGUCAUGGUCCUCUUUCUCCAGGUGCUUGGAGGAGAGAAAUCCUGUAGAGAUGACUCGUGCAGAACUGUAAGAGGUAACAUCAGCUGAGGAUCUGCUAUGAGAUUCCAACAGUACUCAGUUAUUAAUGCUGGGGCUUGUAGCAGAACAAAACAGCUCUGAAGUUGCAUUGCCAGUAAUUCAGUUCAGGGAAGGAGGCUUGAAAAUUGGGGCAUCAGAGUAGGAGUUAGGAGUCAAUGAAGUAUCCAUGGAUAUUGAGAAGAUCUUUGUAAAUGUGCUUGUUGGGUGCAAAGUGCUCCAUUGCACAUUUAUAAAUGUAUUGGCUACAAGUGAUAAGAUCUGUAAAGAGCUCUGUGGUAAAGGCAGACACUUUCAGUUAGGGGAUUUUUUAAUUUUUAGUGUUUUGCAUUUGGAAGGGCAGGAUGGUUCAUUCAUCAUGUUGGGUGAAGUAGAAAGAAUUAGGGAGUUUGCAUCAGAGAUUUGGUGGUCAUUUAAAAUUCAAGGUCUCCAUGUAGGUGAUAGACUGGUCCCUUCUGGCCUUAACUGUAAAACUGUGAUUCCAAAGAGGUAAGACUUGUCUUUUCCAGUUAUAACCUGUUCAUAGCAUUUAAUAAUUCAGAAGAGAUUUCAGUACCAGAGAGGUUCUCUGCAGUAAGAACUUCUUUUAAAAGUCUGACUUCCCAUCAGAGAACAUUUUGUGCCUUAUGUCUCUCAACCACAUGAAGUUCCAGUUAUGAAUGAUAAAUAUCUUCCUACAAUUUGUACUUCUGUCAAAAUGGGAACCAAACAAAUGUACUGGUGAUAACCAGGGGUGUCUCUUUGCUGCUGUUAUUACUCUGGUUUGCUCCAGUAUCUUCCAGGUUCAGUCUCUUUAUUCUGCUGUCCCCAAGAUGGUUAUUUCAUACCAGUUAAAGUAGCUCUGGAAGUUCAACUCUUCUUUUUGCUUCUGAUUUCAGAAUAAAAAAUGGAAAGCAACCAAUAACCAAAAGCCCAGGUCAGUCUGAAUUUCUAAGCCUAAAUUCUUUGUUCCUGUUCAUAACACGAGACACUUGGUUGUUGAGGGUACCUUAUGAUGUUUUCCAACCUAAGAACACUCAACAUGAAAAACCAUUCCACAUGGAAGAAAAAAAAGGGAUCAUUCCUGACUGUUUCCUCUUGCUGCAGUGCCUCAAGCAACUGUUUGGCUUUUUUUUUUUUUUUUAACAAAUACUUUAAUCAAUUGCCAGAGUGCUUCAGAAAAUAUCCCAGCCACCAGAAGUCCUCUUUGCUAAACUGAAAACUCUUCUCUGAAGAGCCUGUGUUUCCUUGAAGGAAUUCCAGAUCUGAGUUACACCUGAGCCAUUCCCUUUCCUCUGAAGUUGGUUAUCACUGGUACUGAAUUUGUCACACCUUAUUUCCCAAAACUUUGUUCUUCUCCUAGAGGUAAUUUUUUUUUUAUCUUUCAUCCAAGCUGCUUCACACUAAUUCUAUUUUACCUUGGUUUGCUGGUGGUUUACUGAUACUGAAGUGCUCUGACCCAAACCUGUUGUUCUGAGGGUCUCUAAAUAUGGGAUAUUUGUUAUUUCCAGGCUAAAAAAAAGGAAUCCAGUGUAGUGCUGAAGCUUAGAUUUGCUUCAGUCUUAUGAAAUAUUCCAGAUUUUCUGCUAGCUGAAAGACCUCCUGCUUUUCAGGCCUGGUUAGUCAGCAACUCUCCUUCUGACCCUCAUUUCAGUUUUGAUGCUUAGAUUAUGGUGGUGGUCAAAGGUUGGACUGGAUGAUCUUGGAGGUCUCUUCCAACCUAAACACUCUGUGAUUAGCAAAUCCAAAUCAGGGAAACAGUAACUUGGAAGUAGAAUCUUUUUUUUUUAAUUAUUAUUAAUACUUGGGCUGUCUUUUUUUAUUAGGAAGAGUGGUACUGAGCUGUGCACUUCUGCAGAUACUCAACCAUCUUCUAGCAUCUUCUUUGCAAAAAUACCACAGAUAAUGGCAGCACUUCUGAACAGAGUAAUUGGAAGUUUCUUGCACACAACUGCAGUGCUCAGGUUUCUCUCUCUUUUGUUGGGUUCUUUGUGGUGGUUGCUUGCUGCCUCUCCCACUCAUUAGGACUCACUUGUUGCUCUCUGAGCCCUUUUUCUCCUUUCACAGUGAUUUUUAGCAUUUUCAUUCUGUUCUUCCCUGCUUUUCUAGUGCUUCUCCUUCUCUUUUUUUUUCCUGUACAGGCACUUUAUUGUCUACACAAAUUCAAGCAGCAUAUUUAUAGACAUUUUAAUGCUAAUUUAGUCCAAGUCAAGAGACAUUCACCUUCCCUUUUGCCUGUUAGAUAGGGUCCUGUCAAUUGCUUACUUGAAGUCCAAAUAUAUUUUGUCCACAGUGCAGUAUAAAUGUGAAAAAAAUUGUCUUCUCUUACCCUUCUAAGAAAAAACAGCUCAGAAAUUCACUCAUUUUACAGCAAGUUUUCUUUACUUUCAACCUCCCUUGUGAAAUAAGUUCCAAGGUGUUGGACCAUGGUUCACAGGGAGAGGACAAGGCAGUGUUGGGGUUUUUUUGUUAUUUCAUUCAUUUUAUUUUGUCUUGCUUGCACCUGGUGCUGGAAGCUGUUUUAUUUGGGCAGUUGUUGAUCUUGGUCAGUGUGUUGUUGUCUGUGUUUUUAGGGUGAAGGUUUGGGACAGGGUGUGUGGGUUCUGCAAAUCUUUGCUGUCUUCUGUACUGGUUCCUCUUGUCCCUUCAUUCACCCAGGGGUUUGGGAUCACUUUUGUGCAGCCAGUGUAGCUUUUUGUUAGGAUUUUUAAAACCAUUUUCCAUUCAGAAAUGGUUGGAGAAACUUGAAACUACUUUUCCAUGCAAAAUCACAGCAAAAGCAGAGUUUGGGUUUGGAGCUUCCCACCACUCAGUGUUACCCACUGAAUUUUCUCCUCUUCUUUUGGCUUUGCUGCAGAUUUUGAUGUCAUCUUGAGAGCUCCUGUGCUGAGCUCAAGCCUGUGACUUGUUUCUGGUUGCUCUGAGCCCAGAGCCCUGUUGGUUCUUUCUCAAGGGACAGAUUUUCUGUUUCAUCCCCUGUUGCAAUACAAACACAAAAGCAAAAACCUUUCUGCCUUGCUCUUGGCUCUUCCCGUAGCAUCCCUGACAUCCUGCUGGGUACCCUCCAACCCUUGCUGCCAGGGUUGUUCUCCAGGGUUCCAGGCAGAACCUUGCACACCAGGUAGUGCAAACACAUUGUGCCCUGCUACUGGUUUAAACUGGGAGAGCCCCAUGUCUCCUCAAGGAGGCAGAUGUCAGGUCUGAGAUGAUAAAAGGAUCUGGUGGUGCCACGGAAGCACCAUCGGGCAGGCUCGUACCUUAAAGAUAAUACAGGAAUCACAAAUUUAAAUUAGAUUUUAGUUGAAUAGGAGUUCUAUCAAAGGGUGACAAAUAAAAGUCAGUUGUGUCCAUGGGGAGCACUAUUUUCUUGACAAAUUGCCUUGGCUGUCUCCCUCUUGGUCUUUAUGAUCUUCCCAAGGCUGACGAAAGCCUGGGGAGUGUGAAAUAUGUGCAGUACUUUUUAAUUUUUUUUUUCUUUUUUUUUCUUUUUUUUUUUUUUUACUUAGUGUCAAUUUUAAAAGUGCCUAAGUGAGUAACAGGACUCCAGAAUGAGCUGGAGGAAUAGGAUUUAGACCUCAUUUCCCUUUAAAGAAAAGAGCCCUCCCUGCUGUCCAUCCACGCAUCCAAUUCCAGGUGUGUGGUGGGAGUCUGGAGCCCCUCAGAAUCCAGCUGGAAAUAAAUCUUGGCUCCUUCCUCAUGCCACCCCCCUUGGUUUUCAGUCUUCUUUUUGUGGGGGGAGUAUCUUAUAAAUAAAUCUCAUUCCUCUGCCUUUAGCAAUCUCCAGUUUGAUGUGGAUGUUGAAGAGGGGGAGAGGCUUGAACAGGAUUCAGUAGGAAACUGCCUCUUGGAUUGCAGGUCCAAAGAGCUUUGUGCAUUAAACACACCUCUGGGCAACCCCACAUCUGAGGUUCUGGGUGGCAAAACUGAUAAAUAUAUUUGAAUCACCCCUUUUUUGGAAUCACAGAGGCAGUUUCUUCCUAUCUUCUUCAUUUUUUUUCUAGUAGCAGCACCUGCUAAACACUUUGUCAGAAUAAUUGUGACUAUUGGCAGGUGGUUAUAAUUUUGUAAAGGUACAGGAGAAUUUUAUGUGGAUGUCAAUGCUAAUUUAAAGAAUUGCAGUAAGGGAUAAUUUCUUCUGACCAUAUAGUACCAGUUAGGGAUUCAGAAAAUGAAAGCAAUCCAUAUGUAGAUGUUUUAUUUUUCACUGGGAACAAAAUGUUGUUUUCACUCUUGACGACUUCGUAACGAAGGAGUUGGGAAAGCCUUGGAAAUGACUAUUGGCAAGGAAAGCUGUAAGGACAUCUCUCUUGCAGAGAGCAGAAAAUCAGCUUGUAGGAUGUUGAUGGGUGUUGAUAUAAGCAGUGAUCAAAUGGGAAUCUAUUGCUGGGGUAGUAAUGAAAAUAAAGUAGUUGUGGAGCCUCUAAUACCCACAGCUCAUUCAGAGCUGUGCCACCACCCUGCUCUAGAGAUGCCUUUUUUUUUUUAACACUGAUUUUUUGUUGGUUUUUGGGUUUUUUUCCCUAAACCAAGUGAUUGUCAGUAGCAGUGGUUGUAAUUGAAAAAAAAAAAGAUUAAUGUAGUGGGAAGUCUUGCAAACCUAGAAGUGAAACGACAGCGGAACAGUGUCAGAGACACAAAGAAAAGAAAAAAAAAUAAAAAUGAAGAAGCAAAACCCACAGACAAGGGUGUGGGUGUCCCCAAGACAGGUGGGGGACUCUUCUUCUUCUUCAUUUUAAAAUUAUGUGUGUCUGAAUUUUGUCCCACUGUCACCUGGGCUCGGGGCAGCGGGUGUGGGAUCCACCUCAUAUCCCCGGUAAGAGCAAGCGAGCGUGGUUGGGAUGGAAGCACCAGGUGUGUUGGGUGGCUGGCAGUCACCUCUGGUCACUCCAUGUGUGUCCCAAACCCAUCAGCAACCCAAGGUGAGCCGUGUCCCACCUCUUCUGGUCACCACCAGGCUCUUAGGUGUCUCUGCAUUCCUCUGUCAGAAUCUUCCACCCACGUGUUCCUUUCUCCCGCCGUGCAUCCCGCCGAGCACGGGACCUGUGUCUCAUCUGCUGUAGGUGUUCUGCCUACCUCAAGAGGUAACCUUGGUAUCCUAGAGUUGUAUGUUCAUGGUCUGUUCUUUUUCUACAUGAGCACUAGCACACGCACACACACACACACACACACACACACUGGAAUGUAUAUUCUCCUCCCCUCCCACCAUCCCUGAAUAACCUCUUGACCUGAUCCUUGCUGUAGCCACCACCAACUCCUCUUGCAAAAUUGGAUGCUGCUUUAAAUGUGAAAACAAAUGUUCAAGAAGCUAUAAAACCUGAAUGAAAGCUAAAGCUGAAUUUAUAAAGCCUUGUUGCAUAUGAGCCAAAAGUGCAAAAAGCUCUAUAUAAUGAACUAACCUGCCACUCAUAUAAAUAUAAAUAUAUAUAAAUAUAUUAAAAUCAGACUGUUCUACAAAAUUGUGUAUUUGUAUUUUUGUGUACGUACAAUUUUCUGCUAAGCAGAAGGAGGAUGUAGUAUAGGAUGAUGUGAGAAGAGAUUUUGUUUAAUCAUAUUUCUUUGUCACUUAUUUUUGUUAACAUCCAGAUGCCUGUCUUUGUCUUAUGUGUAUGACACUGUUCAAAAGGUGCAGUAUCUCUCUCCCACCCUCAAAAACUUGGGGAAUGCUCCACCAAAUCUACCCAGAUCCUGAUCUUGACCAGGGCUGUGCUUUCUCAGCUUAAAGAUGAAAUAUUUCACUUAUUUAACAGGUGCAUUGUGUCCUUACUCCUAGUAGUAACUUCAGAUACUCAUAGGCAGGUCGAUUGCUCUUGGCACACGUGUUCUCCAGCCACACUGCAUCAUCUACAGGAGCUUUGCUACUGGUCCUCAGCUUGGAAAUAAGAAAGAAAUAGGGUCAGUUGGGAGGAUUGAGAGGUCCUUGGGGCAGGACAGUGCUUGUGGAAAGAAAGGAGGAGGAAGGAAGGAGCAGGGUGGCACGGGGUGAAUCUCAGGUAAUCCCAGCAUGGAGGAAGGUGCUGCGGGGAGCUCGGGUUCCCCCCCACAGCUGUCUGCAGGUGCCAGAGGGUGGUUUUUUGCUUUCAGGAAGGCAAGUUGGUGAGGGAAGAAGUUCUGACUGUCCCUGUGCCACUUCAGACACCUCCUUCCAUCCCUGGCAGGGCUCCCACCUCAGCUCAGGUGCUUGGUCACCCUUGGGUCCAUUGCCCCAGGAAGAGUCCUGGCAGCUCC